GCUGGGCAUGGUGGCGUACGCCUGUAGUCCCAGCUACUUGGGAGGCUGAGGUGGGAGAAUCCCUUGAGCCCAGGAGUUCAAGGCUGCUGUGAGCCAUGAUUGUGCCACUGCACUCCAGCCUGGGCAACAGAGUGAGACCCUGUCUCAA
Unclassified non-coding RNA from Macaca fascicularis (crab-eating macaque), 148 nucleotides. It matches the Rfam family "Metazoan signal recognition particle RNA". From Rfam's summary of the family: The signal recognition particle (SRP) is a universally conserved ribonucleoprotein. The record is from Ensembl. NCBI's taxonomy places the organism in Eukaryota, Metazoa, Chordata, Mammalia, Primates, Cercopithecidae.